GUGUGAGAUAUAUUUUCCCUGAUUUGUGUACCAGGCGCACACAGCUAUGCAAUAAAUCAAUAAAAUGUUAUUUCAUGGCAAAAAUAUAUACCGCAUCAGUUUCAUAUCGUAAGAUCAUUAGUCAUAUCUAAAUUUAUCAAUUAAUAAAUGUAUAUAAGUUACAUAUAUGUCUAAUACAUUAUUAUCCACGUAAAUCUAGAUAUAAAAUCUUAUAUCGUGAAAUGGAGGGAGUACCCACAAUGGUGCAGGCAUGAGAUUAGUCGAACAAAAUGAAAGUUAUGUACCCUUGGCUUUAAGGCCCGCCUUUUCUGAUUAGGGAGCACAAUGGCGGUGUGCGGAUUCAAUCAGAGAGGUGGGACCCACUACAUGUGCUGAUUUUUUUAUUCCGGUUCAACACUUUGAACUCCAAAUUAAAAAUUUUGGUCACAGAUUAGAAAUUUUCGACCUCAGAUUCGAAACUUUCAACUCAAAUUGACAUGUCCGAAGUUUCAACUCAAUUUUGAGAAUACUCAAAAUUAUAAUGUCAACUGCAAUGGUAUGAAACUUUUAACUUAACUUUUAAUACAUUUAACUGAUUCUAUAAUUUAUUAUCUUGUAAUAAACAUUAAAUAGUAAUAAUAGUUUUUUAGUGCUAUCGAUAUCCGCAUCGUGCACUUGAGUUGGCUUACUUGCAUGUGCUUAUUAGGGCAUGUUCAAAGAUGUUCAAAGAUAGAGUCCAUCAUCGACUCUCACAUAACCCAAGUCAGCAAAAAAAAAUCUAUUUUAUAAUGAUACGUACAAAGAAAGAAUCAGGUAUGGUUUCUUUAUUAAUGCAAUAAAAUAUUUUUUAUUAUACUAGUUUUCUUUUUAUCCGACCUCAUGUAACAAAGUUUUUUUUAAUAAAUGCUAAGAGUCGACUUUAAGCCGUUGUUAGCAUGGCAACAGUUUUUCUCUCUCCUUCACUUCCUUUCCUCCACGUCACCAAAAUUGCUUACAUGACGAUCGAAAGAGUCAGCUAGGUCUGUUAACUGAGAGAUUUGCAAAAGUGGGCCUCCAAACAUGUGGUGUUUUUUAAAUUUGACACUCGGAGUGUAUGACAUGUGGAUCCAUAUGUGUCUAUAAAAUAUGGACCCAGUGGCAAAUAUGCGAAACACCACGAUUAAAGGUCUAUUACUUUAUAUAAAAUAUAUGUUUCCAAUUAUAAACACUUUAUAUAUAUUACUUUAUAUAAAGAGAAAUAUGGAAUUUUUUAAUCAUAAAGUUUAUACAAAUAUGCAAUGUAUAUCUUUAGAACUAAAGUUCAAUCAUAAUUUUGUAAGUGCACCGUGAUAACACUGAUAAUGAUACCAAGAAAAUAGAGUUUGUGUUCAACUCCAUGCAACAAUGCGCUAAAUAUAAUAUCGAUAAAGACUCUAGACCACACUAUAGUUGCACACCUAAAUAGUUAAAUCAUUAAAAAUAAUAUCAGAGUUAAAUCUCUAGUAAAAAAGAGUAUCUGGUGUGGAAGAAAUAUUUUGUUAGCGUCAUGUUUUAAUUUGAAAUAAAUAAAUAUCUUGAUCUGUCAAAUAAUGCACCACUAUAGAACAUUUUUUUAAAUCAUUGAAAGAUACGUGGACCUCCUGAUAAUAACAAAUUAGAAACACAAGUAAUGAAAAAUAAAGUAGGUAUCAUACGAUCUCUUAAUGUUUGAUUUAAAUCUCUCUUUAUGUAACAUAAAAAGACAUGAUGAAUUUUUUUAAAAUCUCAUAAUAAAUUUAGACUAUGAAUCGGGUUUUUUGAGAGUUGUAUAGUUCUGUUGUUCGCAUGAUUUGUAUAGACAUCCACAAAGUUUCAUUUAUUAUAAGGAGAUGGAAAAUGGCAUGUGAUAUUUCCCAUGUUUCUUUAAAACUGAUUUUGUUAAUUUUAGAUUUAUAGAGUUUAAAUUUUAUGUUAGUAUUAGAUAAUAUGAAUAAAUUAUUUAGUUAAAACUGUCCUGGCAAUGUAUAUGCUUGGUAUUAUACUGAUUGUGAAAUUAGCGUCAAUUUGUUGUUGUAAUGUUUUUUAAAUCUGCAAUUACAGUCCAAACAUGAAAACUUGUAAUCUAUAAUUAAUUAUUCAAAGUUAGUAUAGUCAUUAUAAACGAGUGAUUUGCUUCUAUUUUGUCAGAGUUUGUUUAAAUAAUAAUCAGAUUAAUAUAUGCUUUAUAGAUAAACAAAUUCAAAUGUUUGGUUUACAUAUUAUUGCAUUUAAAUGAAUUUAUAAUUUCUUAAUUAUAUUAUUAAAUAGAGCCGUAGCGUUAGCAUAGGUAUAAUACCAGUAAUCACAAUAACUACUAUAUAAUUCAAUGCAGGUAGCACUUACCUGUUUUAUUUGUACGAGACUUACAUGUCAGUUUUAUGCUAGUUAUAUCUGUAACUACGUGACACUGAAUUAUACUUGCAUUGUAGUGCAAUUAUACCACAGUUACGCUUGUGCAAAUAUAACGUUUUAGAUAUUGUAGGAAAAAAUCACUUGAGUGGUGUACAGGCACUCCCAAAAACAAAAAGACCAUAUGUACGAUAGGACCAGAACACAAACGGUUUUGAUCUGUUGCUAAUGCUCCCUAGCUGGAUGAAAUAAUCAAUUGAGACACCGAAGAGAUGAAAAUUGUGUCAUUAUCUCACUCAGUCUCUGUAAUGAAGCAAACACAAUUCCAUGUGAUCUCUGAUGAAGCAUACUGUUCCUAACGUCUCCACAUGCCGAGAGUUUGAUCACCCCCCUUGAUCACCCAAACAAAUUUGUUUGUUACAAAUAUGAGUAUAUGCAACUAGUAAAGCAUUGCUAAGCAGUGUCGUAAUUGACUAGGGAUUCAUACGUAAUUAUUGGUUACAAAUAAACAGGAUAUUGAAUGAUCAAGGUAAGGCACAAUAAGUAGGUACUGAUUAUUGCGUGCAAUUUUGUUUGUCAAUAAAUCGUUUAACUUGCCUUGCUCAAGCUCCUGUGGAGUCAAAUCUUCAGUCAACUCCCCUCCCUCGCAGUCAGUAAGUGCGAACAAAAAUAAGCAAGAAGGAGAGACAACUGCAAAUCACCCAAAAAAAAACAUAAUAAACUAGCCAUAACACACAAGAGAAGAUCCAAAGGGAGGCAAACACAAAGCAAAUAAAGCCAUACGGUUUUUUGUGAAUGAAGUAGUCAUUUACUUUGCUAAACAUUGGUUUCACUAAAUUAAUUACCAAAGGUUUAGAAUCUAACCUAGGGUAUCAAAAUAACCUUUAAUAGAAUAGGUUAUAAGGCAUUAAACAGGUCAAGGAUAUGACAGGAGAUGGAUAGGAACCAAAAUAGUUGAGGGAUAGCGAAAGAAUGAUCAAAAGGGUGUAAAUUUAGGUUAGUUUACAAUUUUUUUUUAAAAAAACAUCACAUCGGAUAUACGGACACAUAUUUAAAGUAUUACAUGUAGUAUAAUUGCAAAAUAAAUUACAGAUUCCACCAAGAUACUGCGAGACGAAUCUUUUAAGCCUAAUUAAUCCGUCAUUAAUACAUGUAGGGUACUAUAGCACUUAUGACUAAUCACGUACUAAUUAGGCUCAAAAGAUUGGUUUGACGAUUUACCCUAUAACUGUGUAAUUACUUUCAAUAUUCAUUUAUAUAGAAUGCUCUGUUUAGGUUUCAAAAAAUUCAAUAUGAUAUUUUUAGGAAAACUUUUUGAAAACUAAACAGAGCCUUAUCCUUGUUCUCCCUUACCAGAGAGAGCAAAUAGGCAUAGACUGGUGUCAGGCUCAUGGACGGCGUUGGGCUUGGGGCGGAUCUUGGGCGUCGGAUUGGCACUAAUUGAGCCGAGAUGGGGGUGCACAAAGAGAGGGCCAGGCUGGGAGAGGGGUCGAGCCCUAAAUUUAUUUGUUUCAUUUCUCACAGAUUAUUCAAAUGAACUCAAAUACUCCGGUGUUUCGAAAUCCUAUGGUAAUUCAUAAGGCAUGCAUGAUACUCAAUAUCUAUUUUUUUUCUUAAUUUUUUAUGUAACUUGGGAAUCACGCGUCAAGGAGCCCCAGCUGUUAUACUUGCCCGGACGCCAAAUUAAUUUACCAGCUCUCUAGCUCAUCAGUAUCAAGCCAAGCCCGUGUGAAAUGUAUCUGCACUAUAUAUAUACUUUAGGAUAUCCAAACUGCAUAUCGUCUGAGCUCGAACGCAUUGCCAAGAAUAUGGACGAUCGAUCGGUGGCUUGAGAUUUAGUAUUUAGCUUUCCAUUCCACUAGGCAUGCAUCGAUGUGCUGCGUACGUAAUCAUUUCACGCCUCAACGACCUUGACUAUCAGUCAACCUUAUGGAAAUAAGAGGAAGGAUCGAUACACUAGGAUCUCGUUGCUACCAUAAGGCCUAGUAGGGUUGGCAGUACGUGGCCACCACCAUUGCUGUCGCGUUUAUGGAGGACGAGGGAAGCCAUCACUAUAGCACUAAGGAAGGAUGAGGAAGGCCGCAUUCGCCACCCCAAGUUAGUUAACUAAGCCUCCCUCAUUUUUCAUGCGCAGGCUUCCUAAACCGUUAAACGGUGUAUUUUUUGCAAAAAAUUUCUAUAAGAAAGUUGUUUUAAAAAAUCAUAUUAAUCUGUUUAUAUUUUUUUGAUAAUUAAUAAUUAAUUAAUCAUGUACUAAUAUAUUACUACGUUUUCCGUACGAGUGCAUAAGUUAACUUAUGCAUGCAUACCAAACGUGGCCAAAGUGUCACUGUCGUAAGUGGCGUACGUAGGAUAGAAAGUUAUGUCAUCUGACUUAUAUAGUUUUUAAAAUACUAUGAAAUUAAUUAAAAUAUUAUGAUCACAUUUUAUUAACGGAGAGUUUUUCUUUUUUUUCUCUUUAUCACAUCUCUUUACGUACAUACGUGUCUUAGAUUAUGGUGGUACUGGCCCCUGGAUAUGCCAAUGACCAUCCUCACCACCAAGGGAGGAUGGAGUGCACUGAUGUCGUUGCUGCUGAGGAUAUAUGGCUAAGGCUGCGUUCGGCACAACAUCUUCUUAACCCCAUAUUUCCUCUCUUUUUCGCGCGCACGCUUCCGAAUUGCUAAACGGUAUAUUUUUUUAAAAAAAAUUUAUAGGAAAGUUGCUUUAAAAAUCAUAUUAAUCUAUUUUAUAUUUUUAAGUAUUUAAUAAUUAAUUAAUCAUGUACUAAUCUAUCACUACGUUUUUCGUGCCAGGCUGACUUACCCCUCCUUCACCUCUGCCGAACACGGCCUAAGUGUGUUGCAAGUUGGGGCGGGAGGGGGACAAGAAGAAAGCAUUUGCGAUGUUAUUGUCGAGGGAGGAACUGACCGUCUCUUUUGAGGAGGAUGUGCGAGAGCAAUAUAAGACUUCACUGAUGCCCGACGGAGAAUGCGAUGGGGAUUGGGCUGGCUCAAUGAAUAUCUACACCAACUUACAUCUUAGCCCUUCUACUUCAUAAAUAUUACUAUUUCAGUAUUGGGCAUAAACCGCAUGGUACCGAAGAGUGUCGGCUAGUACCGACGGCUAUCAUCUUCUAGUCAACAAGUACACUAUCUGCUGCCAACGGUAUCGCAUGAUACCAUGAUAUCAUUAUGUAUCAUAUUUAUACGAAAAUUUAAUACCUACUCAGUACCAUCCGGUUUCAAGAUGAGCCAGGAUAUUGUACAAUAACAGCUUCUUUGCACAAUAUUUUCACGCACCCUCAAAUAGCCCAUAGUGCAUGAGACACUAAUGUCUGAUAUGCAAUAAUAUGGAGAAUAUGCUACGCACGUUGGGUAGUGGUGAAUUCAUGCCCUUCGUCCCGCAGAAUGAAAAUUAAUGGCGGUACGGUAGGCAUGUAUUUACUUGAAAUAAUUUUAUAUGUCAAUUAGGUGGUGAGUGCCCAGGCCUGUCUAGUGUCUACCACUACCAUUACGCACAUACCUCGCGUCCAUUUAACAUAUCUACUUCUCUAAGCGAACAGACUGACAAAUAGGAAAUGCGAUUUUUUUUAUCUUCAGCAUAUGACUUUGACAAUAAAUUUUUAGUACAGUGAAGAAAUAAAGUUUAAUUUUACCAUCUUUGUGAAAGUAUACUUAGGUAACAAAAUUGUGCGUUAAAAUUUUGGUAUUUCGAGAUAUAUUGUACAACUGGGUAUCAAAUUUUGGUAAUUUUUACCAUACUUGAGAAAGUAUAUCUGGAAGCUGAAAUUUAUGCUCAAAAUUUUGGUACCUCGAGAUGUAAAGUAACUGAAUGCAGCAAAUUUUACUCUAGAAUGAAACCUUCCAUUAUUUUCUCAAGGAUGAUAAAAUUGCUCCCAAAUUUUAUACUAAGAAAUGUGGCAACUCACGGUAGUUUCUCAAUUAUAGUAAAAUUGUCCAUGAAUAAAAUUCAAUAAAUUCUUUCUAUGGGAAAUCAUGAGGCCAUAACAGUUUUAUGAUUUUAAGUUAAGCGUUUUUUGAGGAUCAAUAUAUUAAAGUUUUGAAUAAAAAGGUCCAAAUCUCUGGGUGCAUAUAUAUAUAGAGAUAUAUAUCUGCGUGUAUAUAUGGCCAAACAACGAAAACACACAGAGAAACACGAGCAAGUUAAGGAGUGCAAAGCUAGUGAUGAUAGGCGUGAUGGGUCUUACUAGUUCAAAAACCAAACAACAAAAUUACAAAUAAAAAAUAAUUUAUUAAUAAACUUUUAUAUACAUGUUCUCAGCAAUUUAAAGCCAAGAUUAAAAAAUAAACUAGAAUAAAAAAACUCAAAAUCUACUUUACAAGGUAUGCAUGAUUAAGCCGGUAAUUAUGUGCUUCAAUAGUUUACUUAAUUAGCGAUGGCAUAUCAAUAGAAAGAGUUGAAUACAUUUUAUCGGAAAAAAUAAAAAUCAACAAUCAGCAAUUAGGAUUACAUAGAGGUGUGUUAGCUCAGAAGAGGUAAAGAUUCAAUAGCGAGUUUUACUCCCAUCCUCCUUUUGUAUCUCAAGAUAUCGGUACCUUGAGAUACUAAAUUGUUUCUCACUAUUGGAUCUAGCUAAGUAGGCUGUGCAUCGUUUGAUCCAACGAUAAAAACAAUUUAGUGUUGUGAGGUACCGAUAACUCGAGGUACAAAAGAAAGGAUGGGAGUAAAACCCUUCAAUAGCACCAGCUAUGGAAGUGCGCACUCCCUAGUCGUGACGGUCUUCUUCCUCGCUCGCUGGAUUAGCUUGACUCGGAGUAGUUCGGACAUCAUGGAGAAGGUAUUCAAAGUUUCUAUGAUGGCUGGUGGCUGCACUGAGCACACAGCAAAUUUGAUCCCAGGAGAUAAUGUUAGCAGCGCGCCGUACGUCCGCCUCCGCCUAUACAUGGCCAAAGAUGCAAGAGCGCGCUCGCACACUUGAGGUGCUAGUGAUCAAUCGAUCGAUCAUGGGUCUUCUACCUCCUCGGAUUACCACCUUGCUAACAAUGGCCAUCACGUCGUGUACUUUGUUAGCAGCCAUGGCGGCUGAUCACCGGAGCAACGACACCGACCUCGCGGCGCUGCUCGCGUUCAGAGCACAGGUGGCUGACCCGGACGGCAUCCUUGCUGAGGGAUGGAGCGAGAACGCGUCCUUCUGCCAGUGGGUCGGCGUGUCGUGCAGCCGGCGCCGGCGGCAGCGCGUNNNNNNNNNNNNNNNNNNNNNNNNNNNNNNNNNNNNNNNNNNNNNNNNNNNNNNNNNNNNNNNNNNNNNNNNNNNNNNNNNNNNNNNNNNNNNNNNNNNNNNNNNNNNNNNNNNNNNNNNNNNNNNNNNNNNNNNNNNNNNNNNNNNNNNNNNNNNNNNNNNNNNNNNNNNNNNNNNNNNNNNNNNNNNNNNNNNNNNNNNNNNNNNNNNNNNNNNNNNNNNNGGCGGCAGCGCGUCAGCGCCCUCGUCCUGCCGGACACGCCGCUCCAGGGCUCCAUCGCGCCCCACCUCGGUAACCUCUCGUUCCUCACCGUCCUCAACCUCACCAACGCUAGCCUGACGGGCUCCAUCCCAGCCCAGCUGGGAAGGCUGGCUCGCCUGAGACAUCUUGAUCUCGGCCUCAACGCCUUGUCAGGCUCCAUCCCAUCCACCAUUGGAAACCUCACGAGGCUCCAAUCUCUCAUCCUCGUUAGAAACGGCCUCUCGGGCCAGAUGCCAUCAGAGCUGCAGAAGCUGCAAGAUCUCAGGCAGAUCAACAUACAGGCGAAUUAUAUAAGUGGCACCGUACCAAACUAUUUGUUCAGCAACUCGAGCACUGUCUUGAGACUCAUAAACUUGGGCAACAACACCCUGUCAGGGCCCAUACCCAGCGGCGUGAUUGGCUCCAUGCCCAUGCUGCAGGCCUUUGUUCUUCAGUUCAACCAAUUCUCCGGCUCACUGCCCCCAGCCAUCUCCAACAUGUCCAGGCUUGAAAAGCUGUACGCCACUGGAAACAACCUCACUGGGCCUAUCCCAUUCCCAGCCGGAAACCAGAGCUCUGGCCUCCCCAUGAUUCAAAUAGUGUCCCUCUCCUUGAACAGAUUCACUGGCAGAAUUCCACCUGGACUUGCGGCGUGCAGGAAUCUCCAGCGACUUGAUCUGAGUGAAAAUCUUCUAGCAGAUCGUGUGCCGGAAUGGUUGGCGGGCCUGUCGCAGCUCAGCCUUCUCUCUCUCGGUGGAAAUAGUGGAAAUGACAUCGCCGGCUCUAUCCCAGCCGCGCUGAGCAAUCUCACCAAGCUCACCAUACUUGACCUGUCAUUCUGUAACCUAAAUGGAACGAUUCCAGUCGAGCUGGGAAAGAUGACACAGCUCACGUAUCUGAGCCUCUUGGCUAAUCAGCUAACUGGUCCUUUUCCUACUUUUGUCGGUAACCUGACUCGAUUAACUUUCCUGGGUUUAGAAAGGAACCUGCUCACCGGAGCUGUACCUGGAGGCGUUUUUGGGAACCUCAGAUGUCUUAACUUCCUUGGCAUUGGAGAAAAUCUUCUGAAUGGAAAACUUGACUUCUUUGCCGCUCUCUCCAACUGCAGCCAGCUCCGACGCCUGAUCAUAGAAAUGAAUUCUUUCUCAGGGACCAUUCCUGAAGGUUUACUUGCAAACCUCUCUCCCAAUUUAGAGUCUUUGUAUGCAGGCAGUAACAACUUGACUGGCAGUAUUCCGGCCACCAUAUCCAAUCUAAGUAGCCUGAGUACACUAAUCCUUCAUGACAAUCAAAUAAGCGGCACAAUUCCUGCUUCUAUUGUGUCAAUGGAAAAUCUAGAGUUAUUGGACCUCUCCAUAAAUAGUAUGUUUGGAUCAAUCCCAACUCAAAUUGGUACCUUUAAAAGUAUUGAGGUAUUAUAUAUCAACCACAACCAAUUUACUGGUUCCAUUCCUAUGGGUAUCAGCAACCUUAGCACUUUGCAAUACUUAUCGUUGUCAUAUAAUUGCUUAUCAUCAGGUAUACCCGCAAGCCUAGCUAAUCUUACUAAUCUUCUCCAACUAAAUUUAUCUCAUAAUAACUUAACUGGUACAUUGCCUUCUAAUCUCAACCCAAUGAAGGCAAUCGAUAUGUUAGACAUCUCUGCAAACAAUUUGGUUGGUAGCCUCCCAACUUCGUUUGGCCAGCUCCAACUGAUAAGCUACCUGAAUCUAUCUCAGAAUAUGUUGACCGAUUCCAUUCCAAACUCAUUCAAAGGUCUAGUUAAUUUAGAAACAUUGGAUCUGUCCUGUAACAAUCUUUCUGGUGGAAUACCAAAGUACUUUGCCAACUUAAGCUAUCUUACAUCUUUGAACCUCUCCUUUAAUAAUCUACAAGGUCAGAUACCAAGUGGAGGUGUUUUUUCAAACAUCACUCUGCAGUCCUUGAUGGGAAAUGCUGGACUGUGUGGUGCUCCACGUCUUGGAUUUUCGCCAUGUCCGGGAAGCUCUUAUUCAGCUAACAGAAAACACUUUCUGAAGUUUGUGCUCCCUGCUAUCAUUGUUGCAUUUGGUGCCACUGUUGUGCUCUUAUACAUAGCCAUUGGAAAGAAGAUGAAAAGGCCAGAUCUUACUGCUGCUUUUGACAUAGCUGAUGUGAUUAGUCAUCGGUUAGUAUCGUACCAAGAAAUCGUCCGCGCAACCGAAAAUUUCAACGAGGACAACCUACUUGGAGUUGGUAGUUUUGGCAAGGUUUUUAAGGGUCGACUGGAUGAAGGUUUGGUGGUUGCAAUCAAAGUCCUCAACACGAAUGUUGAAAGAGCUAUGAGGACAUUCGACGCAGAGUGCCAUGUCUUGCGGAUGGCCAGGCAUCGCAACUUGAUAAAGAUAUUAAACACGUGUUCCAACCUGGAUUUCAGAGCACUGCUACUUCAGUUCAUGCCUAAUGGUAGCUUGGAGUCAUACUUGCACAGUGAGAGCAGGCCUUGUGUGGGAUCAUUCCUCGAACGGAUGAAUGUUAUGCUAGAUGUGUCAAUGGCUAUGGAAUAUCUGCACCAUGAGCACUGCGAGGUUGUCCUCCACUGCGAUUUGAAACCUAGCAAUGUGCUAUUUGAUGAAGACAUGACUGCACACGUAGCAGACUUUGGCAUAGCAAAGAUGCUGUUAGGGGAGGACAAUUCAGCGGUUUCAGCAAGCAUGCCAGGGACAAUUGGGUACAUGGCGCCAGGUACAUGCACUCAUUAGUCUGUUUUGUUUUCCAUGAAACAGAUGGUUUAUUCUAAUCUUGAACAAACACAUUCUGUUGACUUACUAAAUUUCUGUCACAGAGUACGCGUUCAUGGGAAAGGCGUCACGGAAGAGCGACGUGUUCAGCUUCGGAAUCAUGUUGCUCGAGGUCUUUACUGGGAAGAGGCCUACAGAUCCCGUGUUCAUUGGUGGACUGACCCUAUGGCUGUGGGUUUCUCGAUCUUUUCCAGAGAAUCUUGUUGAUGUUGCAGAUGAUCACAUGCUGCAAGAUGAAGAAACGCGUCUUUGUUUCGAUCAUCAGAACACUUCCAUGGGAUCUUGCUCGACUAGCAGGAGCAACAGCUUCCUUGCGUCGAUAUUUGAGCUGGGCCUGCUGUGUUCGAGUGAGUCACCUGAGCAGAGGAUGGCAAUGAACGAUGUCGUUGCAAAGCUGAAAGGGAUCAAGAAGGAUUACUCUGCAUCUAUGCUGGCAAUGCAAAGGCAUCGACAGUAAUAGAUCAACCAGUUUGUGAUUUGUAUGCCAGUUUAGUUUGGGUUUCCAUAGUUCUUCAAAGCAAAACCUGGCAUCAUUUAUUUACCCCAUCAUAUCAGGCAUGACCGCAUGAUACAGUCUAUAUAUUGAAAAUCGCAGAGUUGUAGCAUGCACUCUGUUUUCAGAUAAUGUUUGUAUUUUCAUUGAUGGACAUUGAAACUUUGAAAGUAAUCCGAGUUGGCGAUCAACAGCAUCUAUCCAUGCAUGCAUGGUUUCAUCUGUUUGACAAGAUUUCUCGGUGAAUUUUUAGUACAAGUAGCGAGACCAACACACGAUUCUGUUUCUUGGUUUGUACUAACUUCACUGGUCAACCAAACAUAUGCUGACAUGCAUGAUGCUGGUCUAAGCAAUGACUGGUUGAGAUCACUCCUUGAAAAUGUAGUUUGUGUUGAUUAAAUCUGUUACAACUUGAUUUCUCCAUGAUUCAGUGCAUUUCAUCAUUGUGAGCUUAAUGAAAGAUGAAAGAUUUUCUAACUUUUGUUAAAUCUAUUCUAAUAAUAAGCUAUGGAAUUUUCCCCGUACAACAUGUUGUACCUAGUGUUAGAUUGAUCUCCAGCCCUUUAGCCUAGGAGCCUUGAUCGCGCCCUGAUCGGGGGCGUCCAGCCCAAUUGGCUGGUGGGCCCCUGUCACAUGCGCUAUAUAAACACAGAGGGUGGAGGCCGGCUCGGCAUGGAAAACCAAGUUCGUCGCCACCGCAACUCCACCCUAACCGAUCUAGGGCGAGCGCAACCAGUGACGGCAAUCGCCACCGCCGCGCCUCGACCUCGCCGGGACCACUAUGACCGAGACCUCACUGGGGCUUCACUGACAACCGCCGUCGCUAUCAGCACCAAGCCCAAAUCGACGACAAUGGCCGGUUCCUCCUCCUCGGCAAGUGGCUCCACUGGUCUGUGCCUAACCUUAAUCCGUUUUACUACCCGUGUAAAUGUUGUUCUACCAUGCCAAUAGAAUACCCGAUCAAUGCUACAACCCUAGAUGAUCCAAAUAGAAACCUAACAAUGGUAUGAGAGCCUUGCCUAGGGUUUAGAUUGUUUUUGGGAUUGAGAAAUCAUAGAGAAAACGAGAGGGGAUUCGAUCUACAAAAGAAAAUUAAAAGCAAAUAGAAAGAAAAGAGACAGAUGGAAAGGGUAAACCCUAACCUCCGUCACUGCCACCGGGACGUCGUUGACGUCGGGCGGUUUUCCCUCCGCCUUCACCGCCGUGACCACGCUCGGGGUGGCCGACGUCGCCCGCCGCGGGGGCGUCGCCGCAUCGGGUCGAGGAGGAACAGAAAAGGGGCCGGCCGCGCUGGGGUCCAGCGCCGCCGUGAGGCCGUUCAACUGCAGCACACACACCCGUAGGCCGACGCGCGCACCGACAAGAAGCCGCAUGGGCGCACCGCCACCUUCAUCGCCGCCUUCUCGCUCUCUCUCGCAUACGGUGGGGGAAGAUGAGAGAUGGUGGGUGAAGGGGGAGAAGAGAAAAGAAUGGCGCAAGCGGCCGGUGCGAGGUCGCCGGGGAAUCACCGGCGAUGGCGCCGCACGCGAGAGAGGUGUAUGAACUAGUGUUAGGGUUGGUCGGGCGGCGGCGGCUGGGUUGGUGGUUUUGUUUCCCCGAUCUGGCUGGCCGGGCGUUC
RNAcentral lists this long non-coding RNA (12618 nucleotides) under Oryza brachyantha (malo sina). RNAcentral's name for it is "long non-coding RNA (OBRA_LNC002851)". Lineage: Eukaryota; Viridiplantae; Streptophyta; Magnoliopsida; Poales; Poaceae. The record is from RNAcentral.